GUGCACAGAGAGUCUGAGUGCCUUGGUCUAGAGCCAUUAAAAAAUUGUACAUUAUGUUCCUUGCUUUGAAGUAAGGGGCUUGUAGGUAGGAAAGCAACUCAUAUUGAGUACAGCUGAGCUAGAUUUGGCUGCUACUUCUCUCUGUCUGCCUCUCUCUCUUUCUUUCUCUCCCUCCCUGAAAUUCAUCAUCAGGUUCUUAAAGAAUCAGGCAACACUGCAAAGAACUUGAUGCUUUAUAAAAUGCUACAUCAAUUAGGAAAUAUACAGAUCAACAGACAUUUAUAGUAUGUUUUGGUACCUGCAGCCUGCUGUCUGUAUGCACAGAGGCAACAUUUGUAAAUCCUGCAAGAACAAGGCUGAAAAUACCAUGAUGAUGAUACCAUGUCAGUUGAAUAAACUUGUAUGCAAUGUACUCAUUUCAAGUGCCCCCAGCUAUUUAGUUUCCUAACAGCAGUUACACCAGUAAAAAAGCUUCAAAGUCCUUCAAAGCUCAAAAUAAUCCAGUAUAGGAUAAGACUGCAUUCAGAAUGUGUUCCAUGUUUCCAGAAGGCUGCACAUGGUUUGCUGGCUUCUCUUUGCAGGGGAUAAAACGACUGUUUUUGUACUUUUGAUACUUUUCCAGGUGAGGUGGCUGGCCUAAUUGAGAAGACUUAAUUGCUGAGUUGAGAAUCAUGAGCCUUGAGAUAAGGGGCCAGCUUUGGGUCAGCAGGAUGCUCCUACCAAGCCUUCAUACACUCCUCCAACAAGAUGGAAGAAUGGAUGUCUUGAUUAAGAAGAGGAAAGGUGGCUUUUUGCAACUCACAGGACGAGAGCGUGGCUGUUUGUCCUCACUCCGAGGUAAGGAUUCCUUACUCCCAUGGACGGUAUUUGGAGAAGAAACUGGAACGUUUUCGGUAUCUGACGCGUUCAUGCUGUGCUGGGCACUCAUGGUUUGCACCAACCCUGCGUCUGGAAAACAGGAAAGUGAACCAAAGAGGACAUACAGUGAGUGAAGGUGUUUGUGUUAGUUAGGAGUUGUGGCAGUGAUCUAUAGUUAAAAUGUUUAUCCUCACCUACAGCACAGGUAUUCCUUUAUAAAGUUAAUAUCACGGAAUGCACUAAUUUGCCUUAAGGGGAUGUCUUACUGGUAAAGAAGCUCCUCACGCACAAAACAGCUUAUGGAAAUGAAAACAAAGCUAAAACAAAGCAAAAAGAGCCGUCUGCCAACUGCAGGGAGGUAGAAGAAGCGAUGUGUGCUCCCUUUACCCAACUCCUGAGGCUCGGCUGUCAGACGCAGCGUAAAAGCACACGAAUGCUUCUGAUUAGUCUCUUUCCACUACGGUCGCGUUAAAUUGUUCCUAAAUCAUCCGCAUCCCUGGACCGGACACCGGAGGAAAAGGUGGGCUCGGAACAAUCUGUCUCCUCGCAACAGAACGUCGCCUGGUUGCAGUGGGCUGGGCCGUGCCGUCACCAUGGUUAGGGCGGAGGACGCGGUUCGGCACCUACCAAGUGCUUGGAGUGGGGGGGGGGGGACAUGAGGCCUCCACACCAUGGUUCCCUGUGGUGAAAUAAAAUCACUUAAAAAGCC
Coturnix japonica (Japanese quail) is the source of this 1567-nucleotide non-coding RNA. NCBI's taxonomy places the organism in Eukaryota, Metazoa, Chordata, Aves, Galliformes, Phasianidae. The record is from RefSeq and is a predicted model, not a curated record.